Long non-coding RNA from Hirundo rustica (Barn swallow), 1597 nucleotides. RefSeq lists it as uncharacterized. The transcript is spliced from 4 exons. The record is from RefSeq and is a predicted model, not a curated record. NCBI's taxonomy places the organism in Eukaryota, Metazoa, Chordata, Aves, Passeriformes, Hirundinidae.
AGUGAUUGUAGAAGUGGGUAUGAUGCUGAGUGAUUUAACAGAAGGCUUGGACCUGUGUGGUGGAAAAAAGGUCUUCAAUACCUCAGAAGCAUCUCAGUAUCAUGAAGGAAUGGUGGCACAUAAACAGGUAACGUAGGCAUGUGCCAGCUUCAUCACAUGUGGAUGCGCCAGCUAGUCAGGUGCCAGAAAGCCUGGGAAGAAAGAGAAGUGAGUCUCUGCUACACACUAUCCCUCAUGCAAGACACUAUAAUGGAGCCACUGGCCUGUCACUUUUCACUACAAGAAGGAAUAGGAAGAGGCCCAAGUCCUGGGCAGCUAUUUGCAUGGACACGUGCUGCAAAUUCUGAGGGAACAGCAUGGUUUCCCUUUGCUUUUGGCUCCAUUUUGGUCUGACACAGGAAGCAGAGGUUAGGGCCAUGCAGUGCAAGAUCCACGUGCUUCUGGUUCGAUCCAACUCCAGGACAGCAACUAGUGCUCCCAUGGCAUGAAUAAGAGUGACCGUGCCCUGUGUGUGCCCGUAGCCCUGGCUGUUAAGGAGCCCUUGGGGGUGGUGUGAACUGGAAGGCUCUCCAUGGUUUUGCAAGAGACAAUGAGUGCUCAGCGAGGAGGACAGCUUUGGCCGAUGUGCUGCUGUGUUCAGGGUGCUGGUUAGACAGCUUUAUAUGAACGUAUAGAGUGGGAAUGAAAACCUUUAGGUAGAGGAACAGGUUCAUUGCAAGCAGUAGGUUCAAGGGAUCAUACUUCUGGCACAAAACAAGUGGGAAGAAAAUCUUAUUGAGUCUCUUUACAGUUCUUCAGAAGGAGUAAAAGAAAAGGCUAACCUUUGAAAACAUUUUCACCAAUUACUUGGCUAUCCCAUGACAUCAGAACUCUCAGUUUCUAUAGUCCUUUGAAGAACAACAUUGCUAAUAACUAACCUCAUGUCUUUCAUCAUCCCAAAUUUUACUUUGAGCCUCCAAGGAAAAUCACAAUUUCCCCUCUGCAAAGCUUUGCUUUGAAUUUUAUAGUCUGAAUUUUUUUUAUUUAGGAUAAUGUGAGGGUGUUCUGGGAGACCAAAAAAAUAUUUGCAAGACACUUGGAUUAAUUGUAUGGAUAGCAUUUUAACUGUUCACCAUCAUUGCAGAUUUAUGCACAAAUGUGAUGCGUGUCAUGGACACAAUGUACAGGAUGUACCUAAAUAUUCAGGUGCAUUGUUUUUAAUGCACAAGCAGAAAGCAUACAUCCAGGCUGUAUGACAGAUUCCCAUAGUUCAAAGGUGCUGAGAAAUAUGAUAUUUGCACACACAUUUGCCCUUCUUCCAGCAGUGUGCUUUUUGGUGUCAGUGAUAUUAACUCACUUUUAAAACAUCCAGAAGUUUAAGAAUGCUUCCAGGAGUAGCUGCAGAAUGUCCUUACACUAGAGUAACCUUGGUAAGAGAGGAGGGGCUUUAUCUCUAGGACAGCACGCUCCUUACUUGUGCAUAGGCUUGGAUCUAGUGGUACGCAGUAAAUGCUGAGAUGUGGGUGGUGACUAGACUUCAAGCACCCAGGAGUGCUCGAGAUGUACUCAAAAGAAGGGCCUAAUCGUGUGAACAGCGGGUGUAGAUCUUCUAUAGACC